This 72-nucleotide ribosomal RNA is filed under the name Tuber puberulum. RNAcentral's name for it is "partial 5.8S ribosomal RNA". Lineage: Eukaryota; Fungi; Ascomycota; Pezizomycetes; Pezizales; Tuberaceae. The record is from RNAcentral.
GUGAAUACGAAUCUCCUGAACGCACAUUGCGCCCUCUGGUAUUCCUCAGGGCAUGCCUGUUCGAGCGUCACU